Molecule: ribosomal RNA, 490 nt
Filed under: Selenomonas sp. oral taxon 140
Lineage: Bacteria; Bacillati; Bacillota; Negativicutes; Selenomonadales; Selenomonadaceae
Description: bacterial SSU rRNA
Rfam family: Bacterial small subunit ribosomal RNA
Source: RNAcentral
GACGAACGCUGGCGGCGUGCUUAACACAUGCAAGUCGAACGGAGCGAAUGAAAGCUUGCUUUUAUAAGCUUAGUGGCAAACGGGUGAGUAACACGUAGGCAACCUGCCGACAGGAUGGGGACAACAUUCCGAAAGGAAUGCUAAUACCGAAUGAAGUCAGAGGAGGGCAUCCUCUUCUGAUGAAAGAUGGCCUCUAUAUAUAAGCUAUCACCUGUCGAUGGGCCUGCGUCUGAUUAGCUGGUAGGUGAGGUAACGGCUCACCUAGGCGACGAUCAGUAGCCGGUCUGAGAGGAUGAACGGCCACAUUGGGACUGAGACACGGCCCAGACUCCUACGGGAGGCAGCAGUGGGGAAUCUUCCGCAAUGGGCGCAAGCCUGACGGAGCAACGCCGCGUGAGUGAAGAAGGUCUUCGGAUCGUAAAGCUCUGUUGAUGGGGACGAACGUGCCUAAUGCGAAUAGUUUUAGUAAGGACGUACCCAUCGAGAAGCC